CCCUUAGAUGUUCUGGGCGGCCCGCGCACUACAUUGGCACUGGCAACAAGAUCCUAGAUCUGAUAUUUCGGGGUAUUCUACCAACUGGUGUCGUGACUGGGAUUAACCCCUGCAAUUAUUGGUUAUGAACGAGGAAUUCCUUGUAAUCACGGUUUAUCAACCCGUGUUGAAUGCGUCCCUGCCCUUUGUACACACCGCCCGUCGCUCCUACCGAUGAAUCGUCCGGUGAAGUUCAUGGAGUCGCGGCUGCUCCAGCUGUUUUCGAAGUGAAAUGGACCUCAUGAUUUAGAGGAAGGAGAAGUCGUANCA
RNAcentral lists this ribosomal RNA (309 nucleotides) under uncultured eukaryote. Its description in RNAcentral is "partial 18S ribosomal RNA". It matches the Rfam family "Eukaryotic small subunit ribosomal RNA", at positions 1470 to 1796 of the family's 1831-position model. The record is from RNAcentral.